GUCAUCUUCUCCAUUUUUGUAUAUCGUGCACGACUUUUACACUCCUAUUUACGACUUAUUUCCUCCCUCCUCCUUUAAUUAAUCAUCUGUCUCUGUGAUCACUCACGCUUCAGCUUCUCCUCUAUUCUAUAUACAAGCUGUAUUUUUUCUUUUUGGUUCUGCGACACUGGUCCGUGGUCUCAACUUCACCCGCCUUCGUCUCCAUGGAUGGAUCGAAGGAAACAUCAACAAGCUAUGUGAUCAACUCAAGAAAUCUUCUCCGAUAAAAGUUGAAUCUGGAAAUUCCAACACGAAGAAGAGAAGAUCUGAUUACGAUUCCCCCAUGCGGCUCCUGUUGCCGUCAAAAGGUACACGAUCUGAACGAUGAUAUUGACGGAGGAAGACCUGAUCGGGGGUGUUCAGGUAUAAAGGAUCUAAAUUUCUGAUUGAAAAUGCUAUAAAAAGGCUAGCUUUCUUCCUUUGAACAUCAUCUUCUCAACUGUGAAAACACCAAAGUUAAUUCAUUUUCUGUGAGAUGUCAAAAAAAAAAAAAUUUCAUUUUCUGUGAUUUGAAGGCUUGGUUAUAUAUGUCUGUAUCAAGACUCGGUUGAUAAAACCAGGACCUUUGGAGAAGCGAAUUCGAGGUUUAGAUUUAUGAGAGUGGCUUGGGAUGUGACCAAGCGUCAGUAACAGAUUCAGUUGCAUUAAGACUAACAAGAAAGUGAAAAGCUAAUGGCUUGGUCUCAACGAGUUUUCAGAUUUGAGCCACGAAGGAGAGGUUACGGAGUGUUCCGAUCAUCAUUAAGAAGAGAUUAUUGAGUUUGGGGCUCAAGACUGAUGUAGAAAGAGCAAGAGUUCGCUUAUAAGGACUUUGAUGUGAGGCUUUGCCUAAAUCUGUUGAGUGGAGAACGAAAGGAGCCGUGCACUAUGUCAUGAACCAAGGCUCUUGCGGAAGUUAUUGGGCGUUUUUGGACAGUUGCUGCAGUGGAAGGUGUAAACAAGAUUGUGACCGCAAACUUGACAGCAUUGUCUGAACCAUAACUCAUAGAUUGUAGUCUGUGACACAACUUACAACAAUGGCUGCAACAGUGGUUUCAUGGAUUAUGCUUUUGAGUACGUGGUGAAUAACGUAUUCGCAAGGAAGAGGAUUAUCCUUACUCUAUGGAAGAAGGAACUUUCUAAAUGCAAAAGGUUUUUGUGUAACUGCAAAAAAGGAAUAAAUUGGUCGUACUAAUUCUCUUUGUUUUUAAACCAGAUGAAUCUGAAAUGGUAACUAUCAGCGGGCACCAAGAUGCACGUAGAAAUGAUGAGAAAAAUCUCUUGAAGGCAUUGGCUCAUCAAUCUCUCAGUGUCGCUAUUGAUGCUUCUGCUAGAGACUUCCAGCGGUUGUGGGGUCGAUUUGGACCAUGGUGUUACUGCAGUUGGGUAUGGAUCAAGCAAGGGUUCAGAUUAUAUCAUUGUGAAAAAUUCUUGGGGACCAACAUGGAGGGUGGGGAGAAAGGUUACAUCAGGAUGAACACUGGGAAACCAGGGGUGUCUGUGGAAUCAAUAAGAUGCUUCCUUCCCCACCAAACCGAAGUGGUGAUAUCAUUUUAUCCUAUAUGCAUUUGAUCAUUAUCUUAAUAUCUUCAUAACAACAUGAAUUUUGUCAUGAAAUUGUUAUGUUAAUGAAUAGAAAUGUUGUAAGUA
Molecule: long non-coding RNA, 1668 nt
Organism: Brassica napus (rape)
Lineage: Eukaryota; Viridiplantae; Streptophyta; Magnoliopsida; Brassicales; Brassicaceae
Exons: 3
Source: RefSeq, a predicted model, not a curated record